Saccharata proteae CBS 121410 is the source of this 107-nucleotide non-coding RNA. The record is from the annotation of a GenBank genome assembly. Lineage: Eukaryota; Fungi; Ascomycota; Dothideomycetes; Botryosphaeriales; Saccharataceae.
AGUCCUGUGACGCAGUGGCUAGCGUGUCGUUCUUAUAUUUGUUCCUCGGAACAGGUAUGGCCUACUGGGUUAUGCGAAAGUCGAGGGUUCGACCCCCUCCAGGACUA